Molecule: ribosomal RNA, 365 nt
Filed under: uncultured Ruhlandiella
Lineage: Eukaryota; Fungi; Ascomycota; Pezizomycetes; Pezizales; Pezizaceae
Description: eukaryotic LSU rRNA
Rfam family: 5.8S ribosomal RNA (bases 1-103)
Source: RNAcentral
AUGCGAUAAGUAAUGUGAAUUGCAGAAUUCAGUGAAUCAUCGAAUCUUUGAACGCACCUUGCGCCCUUUGGCUAUUCCGAUGGGCAUGCCUGUUUGAGUAUCAUGAACACCUCAACUCUCAUGUUUUGCCAUGAUGAGCUUGGACUUUGGAGGUCUUGCUGGCCUGUCAUCAGCUCCUCUCAAAUGAAUCAGCCUACCAGUGUUUGGUGGCAUCACAGGUGUGAUAACUAUCUAUGCUUGUGGUUUUGUCACCAGAUAACCUUCAGCGAUGGAGGUUCACUGGAGCUUACAAAUGUCUCUCCUCAGCGAGGACAGCUCUUUGAAUGUUUGAUCUCAAAUCAGGUAGGACUACCCGCUGAACUUAA